AGACCAAGAUUGUUCCUCUCUCUGGCUUCUCAUCUCUUUUUCUUCAUAUCAAAGACGAACAAGAUUUUGCAUGCAGAAACAAGAAUAGAAACCAAAACAAAUUAAUUUCAUCUCUUUAUUUGUACUCUGCCGGUUCCCAAUAUUCCAUCACAGUUUCCGGUCACCGGAAAAAUCUGAAAAUAAAUAACUUCUCGAGAAAAUUUGAUUGAAUUGGACUGUUGUGGAAAUCGAUAGCAUUUGAUUUACAAUACAAACU
This 256-nucleotide long non-coding RNA is filed under the name Nicotiana benthamiana. Its description in RNAcentral is "long non-coding RNA (NBEN_LNC021549)". The record is from RNAcentral. Lineage: Eukaryota; Viridiplantae; Streptophyta; Magnoliopsida; Solanales; Solanaceae.